Molecule: small RNA, 736 nt
Filed under: Pan troglodytes (chimpanzee)
Lineage: Eukaryota; Metazoa; Chordata; Mammalia; Primates; Hominidae
Description: processed transcript
Source: RNAcentral
CCCCGCCGCCUUUCUCUACCAACUGGGAAUGCUAAAACGGGACUGAUGGACGUGUCCGAACUCUGCAUCCCGGACCCCCUCGGCUACCACAACCAGCUGCUGAACAGGAUGUCCUCGGACGACAGGCACCUGGGCUCCAGCUGCGGCUCCUUCAUCAAGACUGAGCCGUCCAGCCCGUCCUCGGGCAUCGAUGCCCUCAGCCACCACAGCCCCAGUGGCUCGUCCGACGCCAGCGGCGGCUUUGGCCUGGCCCUGGGCACCCACGCCAACGGUCUGGACUCGCCACCCAUGUUUGCAGGCGCCGGGCUGGGAGGCACCCCAUGCCGCAAGAGCUACGAGGACUGUGCCAGCGGCAUCAUGGAGGACUCGGCCAUCAAGUGCGAGUACAUGCUCAACGCCAUCCCCAAGCGCCUGUGCCUCGUGUGCGGGGACAUUGCCUCUGGCUACCACUACGGCGUGGCCUCCUGCGAGGCUUGCAAGGCCUUCUUCAAGAGGACCAUCCAAGGGAACAUUGAGUACAGCUGCCCGGCCACCAACGAGUGCGAGAUCACCAAACGGAGGCGCAAGUCCUGCCAGGCCUGCCGCUUCAUGAAAUGCCUCAAAGUGGGGAUGCUGAAGGAAGGUGUGCGCCUUGAUCGAGUGCGUGGAGGCCGUCAGAAAUACAAGCGACGGCUGGACUCAGAGAGCAGCCCAUACCUGAGCUUACAAAUUUCUCCACCUGCUAAAAAGCCAUGUG